GACGAACGCUGGCGGCGUGCUUAACACAUGCAAGUCGAACGGAAAGGCCCUGCUUUUGUGGGGUGCUCGAGUGGCGAACGGGUGAGUAACACGUGAGUAACCUGCCCUUGACUUUGGGAUAACUUCAGGAAACUGGGGCUAAUACCGGAUAGGAGCUCCUGCUGCAUGGUGGGGGUUGGAAAGUUUCGGCGGUUGGGGAUGGACUCGCGGCUUAUCAGCUUGUUGGUGGGGUAGUGGCUUACCAAGGCUUUGACGGGUAGCCGGCCUGAGAGGGUGACCGGCCACAUUGGGACUGAGAUACGGCCCAGACUCCUACGGGAGGCAGCAGUGGGGAAUAUUGCACAAUGGGCGGAAGCCUGACGCAGCAACGCCGCGUGCGGGAUGACGGCCUUCGGGUUGUAAACCGCUUUCGCCUGUGACGAAGCGUGAGUGACGGUAAUGGGUAAAGAAGCACCGGCUAGCUACGUG
This 468-nucleotide ribosomal RNA is filed under the name uncultured bacterium. Its description in RNAcentral is "partial 16S ribosomal RNA". It matches the Rfam family "Bacterial small subunit ribosomal RNA", at positions 28 to 507 of the family's 1533-position model. The record is from RNAcentral.